CCUACGGGGGGCUGCAGUCGAGAAUCAUUCACAAUGGGGGAAACCCUGAUGGUGCGAAGCCGCGUGGGGGAAUGAAGGUCUUCGGAUUGUAAACCCCUGUCAUGUGGGAGCAAAUUAAAAAGAUAGUACUACAAGAGGAAGAGACGGCUAACUCUGUGCCAGCAGCCGCGGUAAUACAGAGGUCUCAAGCGUUGUUCGGAAUCACUGGGCGUAAAGCGUGCGUAGGCUGUUUCGUAAGUCGUGUGUGAAAGGCGCGGGCUCAACCCGAGGACGGCACAUGAUACUGCGAGACUAGAGUAAGGGAGGGGGAACCGGAAUUCUCGGUGUAGCAGUGAAAUGCGUAGAUAUCGAGAGGAACACUCGUGGCGAAGGCGGGUUCCUGGACAUUAACUGACGCUGAGGCACGAAGGCCAGGGGAGCGAAAGGGAUUAGAUACCCCAGUAGUC
This 446-nucleotide ribosomal RNA is filed under the name uncultured bacterium. Its description in RNAcentral is "partial 16S ribosomal RNA". It matches the Rfam family "Bacterial small subunit ribosomal RNA", at positions 338 to 795 of the family's 1533-position model. The record is from RNAcentral.